CCCGCGUGUUUUCCCCUCCUAGGCGUCCCCGGGACAGCGGAGCGGGCCGGCCGAGCGACCGCAGCCUCCUGCGUUCUUGUCCUUGUUUCUGCGCUCAAAGUGACCGGAAAAGGAGGAGGGCAGCUGCAGCUCCUGGGGUCAGAGGUGCUACCGCAGCCCGCCCCUCCCCGCGGCAGCCCCUGGGGUCAGCAGCAAAGCCAGAGCGAGGAGCGCUCUUACGCCUCGCCCUUCCCACGGCCGCAGGCAGCGCAGCGCGGGGUCAAGCCGCAGCCGCUCGGGGCAGAACACGAGGGGAAGAGCACUGCAGAAGUUGGCGGAGGAGAGGAGGCAGAGUUGUCCCUCGCCCUGGUGACAGACCACUGGAUUAUCUGAGCCGUUAG
RNAcentral lists this long non-coding RNA (380 nucleotides) under Crocodylus porosus (Australian saltwater crocodile). RNAcentral describes it as "lncRNA (ENSCPRG00005008544.1)". Lineage: Eukaryota; Metazoa; Chordata; Crocodylia; Crocodylidae. The record is from RNAcentral.